RNAcentral lists this ribosomal RNA (433 nucleotides) under uncultured bacterium. Its description in RNAcentral is "partial 16S ribosomal RNA". It matches the Rfam family "Bacterial small subunit ribosomal RNA", at positions 29 to 507 of the family's 1533-position model. The record is from RNAcentral.
AACGAACGCUGGCGGCAUGCCUAACACAUGCAAGUCGAACGAGACCUUCGGGUCUAGUGGCGCACGGGUGCGUAACGCGUGGGAACCUGCCCUUAGGUUCGGAAUAACUCCCCGAAAGGGGUGCUUAUACCGGAUAAUGUCUUCGGACCAAAGAUUUAUCGCCUUUGGAUGGGCCCGCGUUGGAUUAGCUAGUUGGUAGGGUAAAAGCCUACCAAGGCGACGAUCCAUAGCUGGUCUGAGAGGAUGAUCAGCCACACUGGGACUGAGACACGGCCCAGACUCCUACGGGAGGCAGCAGUGGGGAAUAUUGGACAAUGGGCGAAAGCCUGAUCCAGCAAUGCCGCGUGAGUGAUGAAGGCCUUAGGGUUGUAAAGCUCUUUUACCCGGGAUGAUAAUGACAGUACCGGGAGAAUAAGCUCCGGCUAACUCCGUG